AGACCAAAUAGGAAUCCGUAUGCUGCGGCCCGCAGUGGAUUCGGGUAGGUCGCUAGAGGCCAGCGGUGACGCUGGUCCCAGAUGAAUGAUCGUUCUCGACAGAACCCGGCUUAUCGGCCGACUCCUCUU
This 129-nucleotide RNase P RNA is filed under the name Congregibacter sp. Its description in RNAcentral is "partial RNase P RNA component class A". It matches the Rfam family "Bacterial RNase P class A", at positions 225 to 367 of the family's 367-position model. Rfam says of the family: Ribonuclease P (RNase P) is a ubiquitous endoribonuclease, found in archaea, bacteria and eukarya as well as chloroplasts and mitochondria. Lineage: Bacteria; Pseudomonadati; Pseudomonadota; Gammaproteobacteria; Cellvibrionales; Halieaceae. The record is from RNAcentral.